This 405-nucleotide unclassified non-coding RNA is filed under the name soil metagenome. RNAcentral's name for it is "partial contains 5.8S ribosomal RNA, internal transcribed spacer 2, and large subunit ribosomal RNA". The stretch from base 1 to 121 matches the Rfam family "5.8S ribosomal RNA", at positions 35 to 154 of the family's 154-position model. The record is from RNAcentral.
GAUGAAGAACGUAGCGAAAUGCGAUAAGUAAUGUGAAUUGCAGGAUUCAGUGAAUCAUCGAAUCUUUGAACGCACCUUGCGCCCUUUGGCCAUUCCGAAGGGCAUGCCUGUUUGAGUAUCAUGAACACCUCAACUCUUUAUGGUUUUCCAUGAUGAGCUUGGACUCUGGGGGUUUUGCUGGCUCACAGUCGGCUCCUCUAAAAUGAAUCAGCUUACCAGUGUUUGGUGGGUAUCAUGGGUGUGAUAACUAUCUACGCUUGUGGUUUUUCCACCAGGUAACCUUCAGCAGUGGAGGUUCGCUGGAGCUCAUAGAUGUCUCUCCUCAGUGAGGACAGCCCUUUGAAUGUUUGAUCUCAAAUCAGGUAGGACUACCCGCUGAACUUAAGCAUAUCAAUAAGCGGAGGA